Molecule: ribosomal RNA, 433 nt
Filed under: uncultured bacterium
Lineage: Bacteria
Description: partial 16S ribosomal RNA
Rfam family: Bacterial small subunit ribosomal RNA
Source: RNAcentral
AACGAACGCUGGCGGCAUGCCUAACACAUGCAAGUCGAACGAGACCUUCGUGUCUAGUUGCGCACCGGUGCGUAACGCGGGGUAACCUACCCUUAGGUUCGGAAUAACUCCCCGUAGGGGGUGCUAAUACCGGAUAAUGUCUUCGGACCAAAGAGUUAUCGCUGUUGGGUGGGCGCGCGUUGGAUUAGCUAGUUGGUAGGGUAAAAGCCUACCAAGGCGACGAUGCAUAGCUGGUCGGAGAGGAUGACAAGCCACACUGGGAAUGAGACACGGACUAGAAUGGUACGGGAGGGAGCAGUAGGGAAUAUUAGAGGAUGGGCGAUAGUCUGACACAGCAGUGCGGGGGGAGUGAGGCAGGGGUUAGGGUUGCAAAGCCGUUUUACACGGGAUGAUAAUGACGGUACCGGGAGAAGAAGCACCGGCUAACUACGUG